RNAcentral lists this ribosomal RNA (276 nucleotides) under uncultured bacterium. RNAcentral describes it as "partial 16S ribosomal RNA". It matches the Rfam family "Bacterial small subunit ribosomal RNA", at positions 524 to 794 of the family's 1533-position model. The record is from RNAcentral.
UACGUAGGUGGCGAGCGUUGUCCGGAAUUAUUGGGCGUAAAGCGCGCGCAGGCGGGAAAGUAAGUCUACUCUAAAAGUGCGGGGCUCAACCCCGUGAUGGGGUGGGAAACUAGCUUUUCUUUGAGUGCCGGAGAGGAAAGCGGAAUUCCCACGUGUAGCGGUGAAAUAGCGUAGAUAUUGGGUAGGAACACCAGUGGCGAAGGCGGCUUUCUGGACGGUGUCUGACGCUGAGGCGCGAAAGCGUGGGGAGCAAACAGGAUUAGAAACCCCAGUAGU